Molecule: long non-coding RNA, 553 nt
Filed under: Scophthalmus maximus (turbot)
Lineage: Eukaryota; Metazoa; Chordata; Actinopteri; Pleuronectiformes; Scophthalmidae
Description: lncRNA (ENSSMAG00000025563.1)
Source: RNAcentral
UGACAAGUUUGCCAUUAAAGCCUCAUUGUGAUUACACUCGAGCUCUUCCAAAGUAUUAAUACAUUUUUUGGGGGGAGGCUUUUGCAGGAGAGGUAAGCACACACCAAAUCAACUUACCAUUGGGAAGUGGCAAGAGGCUUAGUAGUGGAUGCAACAGAGGUGUAGUUUGUUUGUAGCCUAACAUGAUAUAUUUUUCUUCUAGGUUUCAAAAAUCAUAGAAGAUUAUCUUGCUGAACAAAAUGUGGACAUUUGCGGUGCAUUAAUGGAAGGACGUGAUUCCAGUGUCUGAUUCCAAACCUUGCCAUGAGUUCCUGUUGCCUGAAUCAAGACCUGCAGACAAGUAGGGUAAAGACAAUAUUUCACGUCUGUUGCACACCUGCUUGAUGGAGUUCUCCAUUGCACCUGUAACCCCGCCCCCACAGUGAUGUCACGGUGCAACGACACACCCUGAAGUUCACCUCUACAUCACUGCAGAAAGGGAUGAAGAUUAAAAAACAUUUUCGGUUGCUUUGAAGUUGUUCUUAAACUGCACACAUCUUCUUCUCUCUUGUAA